This 27-nucleotide small RNA is filed under the name Bombyx mori (domestic silkworm). Its description in RNAcentral is "ovarian small RNA-31085". The record is from RNAcentral. Lineage: Eukaryota; Metazoa; Arthropoda; Insecta; Lepidoptera; Bombycidae.
UGAAUAUACGUGCUGUGAUGUCGUGUC